CGUGCCAGCAGCCGCGGUAAUACAUAGGUCACAAGCGUUAUCCGGAAUUAUUGGGCGUAAAGCGUUCGUAGGCGGUUUGUUAAGUCUGGAGUUAAAGACUGGGGCUCAACCCCAGCCCGCUCUGGAUACUGGCUGACUAGAGUUACAUAGAGGUAAGUGGAAUUCUUAGUGGAGCGGUGGAAUGCGUAGAUAUUAGGAAGAACACCAAUGGCGAAGGCAGCUUACUGGAUGUACACUGACGCUCAGGGACGAAAGCGUGGGGAGCAAACAGGAUUAGAUACCCUGGUAGUCCACGCCGUAAACGAUGAUCAUUAGCCGCUAGAAUAUUUAGUGGCGCAGCUAACGCAUUAAAUGAUCCGCCUGAGUAGUAUGCUCGCAAGAGUGAAACUUAAAGGAAUUGACGGGGACCCGCACAAGCGGUGGAGCAUGUGGUUUAAUUUGAAGAUACGCGUAGAACCUUACCCACUCUUGACAUCUUCCGCAAUACUAUGGAGACAUAGUGGAGGUUAACGGAAUGACAGAUGGUGCAUGGUUGUCGUCAGCUCGUGCCGUGAGGUGUUAGGUUAAGUCCUGCAACGAGCGCAACCCCUGUCUUUAGUUACUAACGGGUAAUGCCGAGGACUCUAAAGAGACUGACUGGGUAACCAGUAGGAAGGUGGGGACGACGUCAAAUCAUCAUGCCUCUUACGAGUGGGGCAACACACGUGCUACAAUGGACGGUACAAAGAGAAGCAAUAUGGUGACAUGGAGCAAACCUCAAAAAACCGUUCUCAGUUCGGAUUGAAGUCUGAAACUCGACUUCAUGAAGUUGGAAUCGCUAGUAAUCGUAGAUCAGCUACGCUACGGUGAAUACGUUCUCGGGUCUUGU
This 868-nucleotide ribosomal RNA is filed under the name uncultured Mycoplasma sp. RNAcentral describes it as "bacterial SSU rRNA". It matches the Rfam family "Bacterial small subunit ribosomal RNA", at positions 504 to 1384 of the family's 1533-position model. Lineage: Bacteria; Bacillati; Mycoplasmatota; Mollicutes; Mycoplasmatales; Mycoplasmataceae. The record is from RNAcentral.